GACGAACGCUGGCGGCGUGCUUAACACAUGCAAGUCGAACGGAAAGGCCUGCUUUCCCUUGUGGAUUGCGGGUACUCGAGUGGCGAACGGGUGAGUAACACGUGAGUGAUCUGCCCCCAACUUGGGUAUAAGCCUGGGAAACUGGGUCUAAUUCCCGAUAGGACUGCAGGGUGGUGCCUGUGGUGGAAAACGAUUUUCUAGUGGUUGGGGAUGAGCUCGCGGCCUAUCAGCUUGUUGGUGGGGUAAUGGCCUACCAAGGCGGCGACGGGUAGCCGGCCUGAGAGGGUGGACGGCCACAUUGGGACUGAGAUACGGCCCAGACUCCUACGGGAGGCAGCAGUGGGGAAUAUUGCACAAUGGGCGGAAGCCUUAUGCAGCGACGCCGCGUGGGGGAUGACGGCCUUCGGGUUGUAAACUCCUUUCGACCGCGAGGAAGCCACCUGGUUGGAAGGGUGGUGACGGUAGUGGUAGAAGAAGCACCGGCUAACUACGUG
This 494-nucleotide ribosomal RNA is filed under the name uncultured bacterium. RNAcentral's name for it is "partial 16S ribosomal RNA". It matches the Rfam family "Bacterial small subunit ribosomal RNA", at positions 28 to 507 of the family's 1533-position model. The record is from RNAcentral.